RNAcentral lists this ribosomal RNA (591 nucleotides) under Ralstonia mannitolilytica. RNAcentral's name for it is "bacterial SSU rRNA". It matches the Rfam family "Bacterial small subunit ribosomal RNA", at positions 77 to 661 of the family's 1533-position model. Lineage: Bacteria; Pseudomonadati; Pseudomonadota; Betaproteobacteria; Burkholderiales; Burkholderiaceae. The record is from RNAcentral.
AGCUUGCUUUCCUGCCGGCGAGUGGCGAACGGGUGAGUAAUACAUCGGAACGUGCCCUGUAGUGGGGGAUAACUAGUCGAAAGAUUAGCUAAUACCGCAUACGACCUGAGGGUGAAAGUGGGGGACCGCAAGGCCUCAUGCUAUAGGAGCGGCCGAUGUCUGAUUAGCUAGUUGGUGGGGUAAAGGCCUACCAAGGCGACGAUCAGUAGCUGGUCUGAGAGGACGAUCAGCCACACUGGGACUGAGACACGGCCCAGACUCCUACGGGAGGCAGCAGUGGGGAAUUUUGGACAAUGGGCGAAAGCCUGAUCCAGCAAUGCCGCGUGUGUGAAGAAGGCCUUCGGGUUGUAAAGCACUUUUGUCCGGAAAGAAAUGGCUCUGGUUAAUACCCGGAGUUGAUGACGGUACCGGAAGAAUAAGGACCGGCUAACUACGUGCCAGCAGCCGCGGUAAUACGUAGGGUCCAAGCGUUAAUCGGAAUUACUGGGCGUAAAGCGUGCGCAGGCGGUUGUGCAAGACCGAUGUGAAAUCCCCGGGCUUAACCUGGGAAUUGCAUUGGUGACUGCACGGCUAGAGUGUGUCAGAGGGAGG